This is a non-coding RNA of Cucurbita pepo subsp. pepo (vegetable marrow), 702 nucleotides long. Lineage: Eukaryota; Viridiplantae; Streptophyta; Magnoliopsida; Cucurbitales; Cucurbitaceae. The record is from RefSeq and is a predicted model, not a curated record.
GAUAAAAUAUAGAUUUAGAAGUUGGAACAAUUAUUUAUAUUUCAACAGUCACAAAUGGUGAAUAACUAUCUUUGAUAUGUUAUGGCAUAGUAUGAAGGACGGCCUAUGUAAUUUGUCCUGGUGGGCGUCUUUGUUAAAGAAGCUUUUACGUCAUUUGGAAUGGUAAAUUAUUUUAUUCUCAUAGUAAUCACGUUUUGCUGCAGUUCUUCCUUACUUGUGCCAAAUGUGAUUGGCUUGACAACAAGCACGUGGUGUUUGGGAGGGUGCUGGGUGAUGGCCUUCUGGUUGUCAGGAAGAUUGAAAAUGUAGCCACUGGCCCUAACAACCGACCAAAGCUGGCUUGCGUUAUCGCUGAAUGUGGUGAAAUGUAAAACUUGAGUUACACACUUCUACUCUGUUGCCCAAAAUAUAUACUUCUCUAAUUGCCAUUAUAGAGUUUAACUUCCCUGCCAGUUUCUGCUGAAAUGGAAAGCAGACCAUGAUUUUUAAGGAUGUGAAUCUCUUCAAUACAAUCUACCUUAGGUCCUCGAUAGCAUCUCGGACGUGUUGUCCGUGGAUGCAUGUCAGUUUUAACCCGUUUUAUUUUACCGUGCUUUCAUUUUGUCUUUUCUUUAGCAUAGUUGUUUGUUUUCUUUGUAUUAGGUAGGCGUACUCCUUGCCACUAUUCCUUCCUACUUAAGUUGUAUGCUAUGAGUGUUGUCG